UACGAAGGGGGCUAGCGUUGCUCGGAAUCACUGGGCGUAAAGCGCACGUAGGCGGCUUUUUAAGUCGGGGGUGAAAUCCUGGAGCUCAACUCCAGAACUGCCUUCGAUACUGGAAAGCUCGAGUCCGGGAGAGGUGAGUGGAACUGCGAGUGUAGAGGUGAAAUUCGUAGAUAUUCGCAAGAACACCAGUGGCGAAGGCGGCUCACUGGCCCGGUACUGACGCUGAGGUGCGAAAGCGUGGGGAGCAAACAGG
This 253-nucleotide ribosomal RNA is filed under the name uncultured bacterium. RNAcentral describes it as "partial 16S ribosomal RNA". It matches the Rfam family "Bacterial small subunit ribosomal RNA", at positions 524 to 776 of the family's 1533-position model. The record is from RNAcentral.